Molecule: unclassified non-coding RNA, 573 nt
Filed under: Microdochium neoqueenslandicum
Lineage: Eukaryota; Fungi; Ascomycota; Sordariomycetes; Xylariales; Microdochiaceae
Description: sequence contains 18S rRNA gene, ITS1, 5.8S rRNA gene, ITS2, 28S rRNA gene
Rfam family: 5.8S ribosomal RNA (bases 192-345)
Source: RNAcentral
AGUCGUAACAAGGUCUCCGUAGGUGAACCUGCGGAGGGAUCAUUACUGAGUUUUUAACUCUCCAAACCAUGUGAACUUACCACUGUUGCCUCGGUGGUUAGUGCUCUCUCUCGGGAGGGUGCUGCCACCGGUGGACUACUAAACUCUUGUUAAUUUAAGUCAUUCUGAAUCAUAACUAAGAAAUAAGUUAAAACUUUCAACAACGGAUCUCUUGGUUCUGGCAUCGAUGAAGAACGCAGCGAAAUGCGAUAAGUAAUGUGAAUUGCAGAAUUCAGUGAAUCAUCGAAUCUUUGAACGCACAUUGCGCCCAUUAGUAUUCUAGUGGGCAUGCCUGUUCGAGCGUCAUUUCAACCCUUAAGCCUAGCUUAGUGUUGGGAGACUACCUAACUGGUAGCUCCUCAAAACCAGUGGCGGAGUCUGUUCGUGCUCUGAGCGUAGUAAUUUUUUAUCUCGCUUCUGUAAGCCGAUCAAACAACAGCCAAAAACCGCACCCUCACGGGGCACUUUUUAAUGGUUGACCUCGGAUCAGGUAGGAAUACCCGCUGAACUUAAGCAUAUCAAUAAGCGGAGGAA